UCCAGGUCCGCGCCAGCUUCUAGAAGUUUCUGCAAUAUGUCUGCAUGUCCAUUCAUGGCCGCCAAAUGAAAGGCUGUGUUCUUCUCCUGCAAACCAGUGUGACAUUCCACAUUAAGCUGCACGUCUUCCAGAUCUUCCAUGAUGAACUUCAUCACCCUGAGAUGACCCCUUUGGGCAGCACAGUGUAGGAGAUUGUGGCCAUUCUGAAAAAAAAUAAGGAUGGUGGAUUCAAGGUGUGGAGGAAUAAGCCAUCUGCGCCAUCUUGCUCCUCAGAUACCAGAACCAGGUUAGGGACAGAUCACCCAGGAGAAAAUGUAUCUAUGCGGUCGCCAAGAGCAAGCGACAGAUUAAUGACAUGGAAUCAUUCAUCAUCAGUGUAAUUGAGCUUACACUGUUCU
Long non-coding RNA from Crotalus tigris (Tiger rattlesnake), 398 nucleotides. RefSeq lists it as uncharacterized. The record is from RefSeq and is a predicted model, not a curated record. The transcript has 3 exons. NCBI's taxonomy places the organism in Eukaryota, Metazoa, Chordata, Lepidosauria, Squamata, Viperidae.